GCUACAGGCUUAACACAUGCAAGUUGAGGGGCAGCAUGGUCUUAGCUUGCUAAGGCCGAUGGCGACCGGCGCACGGGUGAGUAACACGUAUCCAACCUGCCGUCUACUCUUGGACAGCCUUCUGAAAGGAAGAUUAAUACAAGAUGGCAUCAUGAGUCCGCAUGUUCACAUGAUUAAAGGUAUUCCGGUAGACGAUGGGGAUGCGUUCCAUUAGAUAGUAGGCGGGGUAACGGCCCACCUAGUCUUCGAUGGAUAGGGGUUCUGAGAGGAAGGUCCCCCACAUUGGAACUGAGACACGGUCCAAACUCCUACGGGAGGCAGCAGUGAGGAAUAUUGGUCAAUGGGCGAGAGCCUGAACCAGCCAAGUAGCGUGAAGGAUGACUGCCCUAUGGGUUGUAAACUUCUUUUAUAAAGGAAUAAAGUCGGGUAUGCAUACCCGUUUGCAUGUACUUUAUGAAUAAGGAUCGGCUAACUCCGUGCCAGCAGCCGCGGUAAUACGGAGGAUCCGAGCGUUAUCCGGAUUUAUUGGGUUUAAAGGGAGCGUAGAUGGAUGUUUAAGUCAGUUGUGAAAGUUUGCGGCUCAACCGUAAAAUUGCAGUUGAUACUGGAUAUCUUGAGUGCAGUUGAGGCAGGCGGAAUUCGUGGUGUAGCGGUGAAAUGCUUAGAUAUCACGAAGAACUCCGAUUGCGAAGGCAGCCUGCUAAGCUGCAACUGACAUUGAGGCUCGAAAGUGUGGGUAUCAAACAGGAUUAGAUACCCUGGUAGUCCACACGGUAAACGAUGAAUACUCGCUGUUUGCGAUAUACGGCAAGCGGCCAAGCGAAAGCGUUAAGUAUUCCACCUGGGGAGUACGCCGGCAACGGUGAAACUCAAAGGAAUUGACGGGGGCCCGCACAAGCGGAGGAACAUGUGGUUUAAUUCGAUGAUACGCGAGGAACCUUACCCGGGCUUAAAUUGCAGAUGAAUUACGGUGAAAGCCGUAAGCCGCAAGGCAUCUGUGAAGGUGCUGCAUGGUUGUCGUCAGCUCGUGCCGUGAGGUGUCGGCUUAAGUGCCAUAACGAGCGCAACCCUUGUUGUCAGUUACUAACAGGUCAUGCUGAGGACUCUGACAAGACUGCCAUCGUAAGAUGUGAGGAAGGUGGGGAUGACGUCAAAUCAGCACGGCCCUUACGUCCGGGGCUACACACGUGUUACAAUGGGGGGUACAGAGGGCCGCUACCACGCGAGUGGAUGCCAAUCCCAAAAACCUCUCUCAGUUCGGACUGGAGUCUGCAACCCGACUCCACGAAGCUGGAUUCGCUAGUAAUCGCGCAUCAGCCACGGCGCGGUGAAUACGUUCCCGGGCCUUGUACACACCGCCCGUCAAGCCAUGGGAGCCGGGGGUACCUGAAGUGCGUAACCGCGAGGAGCGCCCUAGGGUAAAACUGGUGACUGGGGCU
Molecule: ribosomal RNA, 1439 nt
Filed under: uncultured organism
Description: SSU rRNA
Rfam family: Bacterial small subunit ribosomal RNA
Source: RNAcentral